GCUCAGUUCAGAUCGUAGGCUGCAACUCGCCUACGUGAAGUAGGAAUCGCUAGUAAUCGCAGGUCAGCAUACUGCGGUGAAUACGUUCCCGGGCCUUGUACACACCGCCCGUCACACCAUGGAAGUUGGCCAUGCCCGAAGUCGUUACUCCAACCCUUGUGGAGGAGGACGCCGAAGGUGGGGCUAAUGACUGGGGUGAAGUCGUAACAAGGUAGCCGUACCGGAAGGUGCGGCUGGAUCACCUCCUAACAGGGAGACAACAAAAUGUUUAAUAUUAUUAUUUUGUCACCUUGGGUCGAUCGGUAUCUCACGUUCUUAAUUAUUAAGAAUUUCAAUUCCUAAGUUUUUCUAGGUCACACCCAUUAUUUUUCCUGGGCCAUUAGCUCAGGUGGUUAGAGCGCACCCCUGAUAAGGGUGAGGUCCCUGGUUCAAGUCCAGGAUGGCCCAUAUCUCUAUGUUGGGGGUAUAGCUCAGUUGGUAGAGCGCCUGCUUUGCAAGCAGGAUGUCAGCGGUUCGAGUCCGCUUACCUCCACUGAUUACCACCUCUUUCAUAAUCUGUUAGAAGGAAAUGUUUUGAGUCGUGAUCAAAUUCUGAACGAAUCUAGCUUCCUAAUGAAUUCAUUAAGAUGCUGGACUCAUUGAAUUAAUUUCAUUGUUUUCAGAGAACCUUGACAACUGCAUAGAUUAUUUUAAAGACAAUAAGCAUCUUAAAUGAUGCAGAUUUAUUAUUUGUGCGAAUGC
Molecule: unclassified non-coding RNA, 741 nt
Filed under: uncultured Prochlorococcus sp.
Lineage: Bacteria; Bacillati; Cyanobacteriota; Cyanophyceae; Synechococcales; Prochlorococcaceae
Description: partial contains 16S ribosomal RNA and 16S-23S ribosomal RNA intergenic spacer
Rfam family: Bacterial small subunit ribosomal RNA (bases 1-249)
Source: RNAcentral